Molecule: long non-coding RNA, 1046 nt
Organism: Procambarus clarkii (red swamp crayfish)
Lineage: Eukaryota; Metazoa; Arthropoda; Malacostraca; Decapoda; Cambaridae
Source: RefSeq, a predicted model, not a curated record
CUGUUAGUUCUUAGGUGAAUUUGAUAAUUUAUUACCGAAUAAAAUAUAGAAGGUUUGACGAUGAGUCGAAAUAACGUGGCUGUAGACAUGAUGAAUACCCCUCUCAGUGAUUAUUAAAAUAUGCCAAGCCGGGAGGAUUAUGAUACACAAGCAAUUUUUCCCUCAUUCUCAGUGAGUGAAGACUAGUGAGGAUCUUUCUGAGGUUGGUUGUGAUUGAAGGGCUGGUGGGGCCCACAAUAGGUGCACACUCAUUACUGACGCUGCAGGAAACGCAGCCUCAACCGUAUAUAAACCCGGGCAGGUACUGAAGGAGACACAGACGGCCAGGUAUCCCAGCGCUCCUCUGUUCUUCAGCCCAGCUCAGUGUUCCUGCUCCGAGAUGAAGGUCUUGAUACUGUCAGGGGUCCUUCUUGUGGCGGCUGUCUUCGCUCUGCCACAAACGAACCCUUUCCCGAAGCCUCCAAUCUCAUCACUCUUUCCCGGGAACUUUACAUUCCCCAAGAACUUUACAUUACCCGGGAACGGUACAUUCCCCAAGAACUUUACAUUACCCGGGAACGGUACAUUCCCCGGGAACUUUACACUUCCCAAGCUGCCUUUCAGUAAGGCUCUACCUCCAACUGGCUAAACGCAGAUGAAGCUUCCUCGGCCCACUCCAACUUAAGAUAACAUGAUAUCGUACGACACUUUUUUUUAUUGACAAACUUACUUAAUAUUAGUAAUAAAGUAAUAUAGAAUUACCAGUAUAUGUAUAUACUGGUAAUUACUAUAUCAUACUUUAUAAUGGACGUUUUGUCUUGUCCGUGCAUAACUCUGACCUAAGUAAAUAUCAGAGAUUUCUUCCUUUUAAGCAUUAAUUGUUGGAUAUUUUCUACAAAAGCUUUAGUGCUGGAAUUAGCAAUAUCUAAGUUUAUAUCAGUUUUAUAUUUGUAUAACGUGUGUGUGGAUUAAAUGAUCAACACUUCGUUUAUUAAUUUAACCUCAUAAGUGUUUAAAAAGGAAAAUUAAUUGUAUUUUGUGCUUACUUUCAUUAAAUAUAAUCAUAA